Molecule: small nuclear RNA, 201 nt
Filed under: Melitaea cinxia (Glanville fritillary)
Lineage: Eukaryota; Metazoa; Arthropoda; Insecta; Lepidoptera; Nymphalidae
Description: misc RNA ENSMCXG00005023011.1
Rfam family: U4 spliceosomal RNA (bases 1-175)
About the family: U4 small nuclear RNA (U4 snRNA) is a component of the major U2-dependent spliceosome.
Source: RNAcentral
UUCUUUGCGCAGAGGCAAAAUCGUAACCAAUGAGGUUAAUCCGAGGUGCGAUUAUUGCUAGUUGAAUUUGCAAUUAGUGGUUUGAUUGGCACCUUAUGUCCACUUUCCUGCGAACCGUCAAAGAAUACUUAUAACAAAUGGACACAACGAUAAAUAAUGAAAAUAAUCACGAGAAAAAAAGUAUGGCGGUUCACCAUGUUA